Molecule: ribosomal RNA, 440 nt
Filed under: uncultured bacterium
Lineage: Bacteria
Description: partial 16S ribosomal RNA
Rfam family: Bacterial small subunit ribosomal RNA
Source: RNAcentral
CCUACGGGUGGCAGCAGUAGGGAAUAUUGCUCAAUGGGGGAAACCCUGAAGCAGCAACGCCGCGUGGAGGAUGACGGUUUUAGGAUUGUAAACUCCUUUUGUUAGAGAAGAUUAUGACGGUACCUAACGAAUAAGCACCGGCUAACUCCGUGCCAGCAGCCGCGGUAAUACGGAGGGUGCAAGCGUUACUCGGAAUCACUGGGCGUAAAGGGUGCGUAGGCGGGGUAAUAAGUCAGAUGUGAAAUCCUGUAGCUUAACUUCGGAACUGCAUUUGAAACUGUUAGGCUGGAGAGUGGGAGAGGUAGGUGGAAUGCAUGGUGUAGGGGUGAAAUGCGUAGAGAUCAAGAGGAACACUGAUUGCGAAGGCGACCUGCUAGGACAUUACUGACGCUGAGGCACGAAAGCGUGGGGAGCAAACAGGAUUAGAUACCCUAGUAGUC